CUUCAAAUCUUUAUUUUCAAGGUUGAAAGAUUAGGUUUUUGGUUGAUCUUCAUGCCUCCAAGAUCAUCCAGAUUUGGAGGCAAUUGGAACCUAGUUUGAGUCGCACACAUAUGCUCGUCUUCUUGGUAGGUUUUAUGGCAUCUCAAUAGCUGCACCUUCACUAUGGUCACUCCACUGGAAGUCUAGAGUCCUUUUCGUUGAACAUAUGUAUCUUGAUGUAAAUUGUUAAGAUAUACAUAUCUUAAGCAAUAGACGUUUAUGUUGAUUAAUGUUGCCACUAUGAGAUGGCACGAAUGACAUUAUUUUGAAUCAUAAAUGUGAACAUAUGGUUUCGAUGGAAAAGUAUUGAAAUACUUGUUGAUAAGAAUUAUGAAAUACGAUUGUAAGAACGAGUGAUGAAAUCGAUGAAUGGAGUCACAUAAAUAGGCUUACUUGGGCUUAGUGGGCUAUGCCCAUUGGGCCCAUGCAUCGGUCAU
Non-coding RNA from Theobroma cacao (cacao), 476 nucleotides. The record is from RefSeq and is a predicted model, not a curated record. Lineage: Eukaryota; Viridiplantae; Streptophyta; Magnoliopsida; Malvales; Malvaceae.